Molecule: ribosomal RNA, 305 nt
Filed under: uncultured bacterium
Lineage: Bacteria
Description: bacterial SSU rRNA
Rfam family: Bacterial small subunit ribosomal RNA
Source: RNAcentral
GCCUACGGGGGGCAGCAGUAGGGAAUAUUGCUCAAUGGGGGAAACCCUGAAGCAGCGACGCCGCGUGGAGGAUGAAGGUUUUCGGAUUGUAAACUCCUUUUGUUAGAGAAGAUAAUGACGGUAUCUAACGAAUAAGCACCGGCUAACUCCGUGCCAGCAGCCGCGGUAAUACGGAGGGUGCAAGCGUUACUCGGAAUCACUGGGCGUAAAGAGCGCGUAGGCGGGAUAGCAAGUCAGAUGUGAAAUCCUAUGGCUUAACCAUAGAACUGCAUUUGAAACUGUUAUUCUAGAGUAUGGGAGAGGUA